Molecule: long non-coding RNA, 4688 nt
Organism: Symphalangus syndactylus (siamang)
Lineage: Eukaryota; Metazoa; Chordata; Mammalia; Primates; Hylobatidae
Source: RefSeq, a predicted model, not a curated record
UAAUGUAGAAACUCUUAUUACACUGUUAGAGAAUCCUGGAGAUCUGGAACAGGGUCAGGAGAGAGCUUAGGGUAACAACUAUAUUUAAAUUUGGUAAAUUAAAAUAAUAUAAACUCAUAAAGCUCAGUUUAAUUCUCCCUAUUUCGUCCCUCCAGCUGGGUGCCCACAUAACCCAAUCCUUUCUCGUUAGUUUCCUCUAGUUCUCCAAGUUACUCUAGAAGCUCAAGUAGCAAGUUAUGCCCUAAACGCCUCCGUUUUUGUUUUAAAUCUCUUUAUGGACCUGAGUACAGUAAUCCUGGAUUUUGCCAAUUAAACUUUCCUAUUUGAGUUCUGCGUUUUUGGAGACUGAUUCCGCAGAACUAGCUUUCCCCAACGGUACUGCUCUUAAUAUUUUGUCACAUAAUCCCCCCAAGCAGUUUCACACUUUGCCUUAAUCAUCCUGUGUCUCCUCCUGCUCCUCCAGCCUCCACAGUUACCUCUCAGGGAUAUUUCUUCACAACUCCACCCCACUUCGUCAACAUAAAAAGCACCCAGGCUCCAGCCUCCCGACCUGAGUCACCCCACGCCCACUUCUAGUGUUACCAGCUCAGGCUCCUGCCCUUCGUCUUGUCUCUUCUCAGAUAAAAUCAGUAUCAUGUAGUAUUAGCAUAAGUGCAGUUCUAUCCAUUUGGCUAGACCUAGCCAGCCUGGAGUUUUUCAGUUGAUGGGAGAUUUUUUUUUAAUGCACAAUUUAAAAAUAUUCUUGUUAUAGAAACUUUCAAAACAAACAGAAGGAGAAAGAAUAGUCUAAUGAACCCCAUGUACCCAUCAUCCAACUUCCAUAGUUUCAAUUCUUUGUCAAUCUUGUUUUAUCUUUACCUCCACCACACCCACUGGUUUAUUUUGAUACAAAUCCCAGAUGCCCUAAAAUUUAUUUUGUAUAUCCGUAUGUGAUUCUAAAAAGGGGGAUAUCUUUUUUUAAAAGCAUAAGCACAAUAACACUAUCACACCUAAAAGUAAAAACCCCAAAUAUUUUCUCAAUACUCUCAAAUAUCCAGUUUUUAAAAAUUGAGAUCCAAAUAAGGAAUAUACAUGACAUUGGUUGAUGUAUCUCUUAUAUCUCUCUUUUUUUAAAAAACCUUUGCAUUAUGGAAAGUUUCAAACAUAUGUAAAGCAAACAGAAUAAUGUAUGUACUCUAUAUCUAGCUUCAACAACGAUCAAUUGUCUGUCACUCUUACAUCACCUAUACCUUCACCCACUCCCCACCUCGAUUGUUAUUUUUAACAGUUUUUUUGAAGUAACUUGUAUUAGUUGUACAACUUUGACAAAUGAAUAUAUUAAUGUAACCCACAAUACUAUCAUGAACACAGGACAUUUUCAUCUCUCCAGAAGAUUGUCUCGUGUCUCUUAUUCUUUCAGAGGCAACCAGUGUUUUGAUUUUGUUUAACCUUAGAUUAGUGAUUCUUCCACAACUUUAUACUCUUUUACAUCCAGCUUCUUCUCACUAUAAUAUCUGUGAGAUUUAUUAAUGUUGUUGGAUUAGUUUGUUUCUUUUCAUUGCUAUAACUACUACAAUAUAUUUAUUCUGUUGAGCUUAUUUAACACAUGUAUUUUCUCUAUAAGGCACAUUGCAGCCUUUUUGUGAUUAGGGACACUAGGCAGCACUUUAUCACUAUGCUUGAGAGUCAUUUUAAACAGUGAAAUCACCAACAAAAAGCAAAAAACAUGGCACUAUAUAGACUGCAAAAAAGAUGUUUAUUUACAGUAUGAGAGCUGAAACAAGUGGGUAGAGAGCACGACCUCAUCUGAGAACAUAUGCAUCAGGUGACUCAAUUUUUGGCCACUCUGUGAGUGUCCAUGAAUGACCACAACAGUAUUGAUUUUGAGGUUAUGAAUACCUUUUAGCGAUCAGGCAAAUUCAUGAAUACUGAAUUCAUUAAUGAUGAGUAGCAACUGUACAUAUGUGUAUCAGCAUAUGUACAGAUGGUCCCUGACUUAUGAUGGCUUAACACAUGAUUUUUUAACAUUAUGGUGGUGUGAAAGCUAUACACAUUCAGUAGAGACCAUACUUUGAAUUUAAUAUCAACAAGUGUCUCUGCUCCAGUGCCUUCUACCAAUGAUUCUCCAGCCUCAUCAGAAGAGAGAGAAAUUGAUGACCCUGUUGAUGUAGCAUCCUCAUCAUCCAGCAAUUAAUUUUAGUUCAAUACUUCAAACAUUCUUGAGGCCCAGUGUUGUUUCAGCUGUGUGUGUUAAUGAAAUCCAUCAUUCUCUGCUACUAUUCUGAUUUUAGAAGGAAAAAAAAAAACACAGCUGAAAUCAUCUACUCAACAAUGCAAGUCCCUGCUUGCUAUAAGUUUUAUUUAUCAUGAGGCAUCAAAUUUGCUAGUGGCAAGAGGCAUUGAGAACAUAAUGGUGAGCAAAACUGACCAAGGCCCUACUCUCGUGGAAUUUAUAUAGUCUCAUGGAUGGAUACCAAUCAAAUAAUCACACAGGGUAGAAAUUAGAAGAACUGAAGGAAAUGACCUCUGACCGGGGAUCUAAAAGAUGUUUGGCUCUACAAAAUGGAUGGAUUUUAUCAGUCGACACUACAGAGAUCAAACAAGAAAUUAACCCUGCAAAAAGUGCUGUGGAGAACCUGGGUUUUAAUCUAGAGUUUUGCAAGUUCAUGCACCCGGCAGUGGCCUAAGGAGCAGAAGGAGCAAACUGAAGUGUCAAGCACUGCAGUCGAUUCUGAAGAUACAAAAAUAAACAAAACAUUCCUGCCCUCAAGACACUUACACUCUUAUGUGUAACAUUGUGUGACCAUUCAUCUGGGCCUUCCUGAGACAGUCUUGGUUUAUACCUGUUUUCCCAAUCAGAGUGUCACUGCCUUUCCCACUAUUCUCCUGCAGAAGAGCAGGGGAAGGAAGCACCAGGGUCCAUCACGGAGAUCACCUGGCCCUAGAAUGACCUUAUAUCUCCGAGAUACAGACUGACGCUAAUAAAUGAGUUGCUGAUCCUAAAAUAAAAGUGGAAAUCAGGUUUGGAGUUUGAUGUAAAAGCCGGAGAGGCACAGGAAGGGUGUUGCCCUGAACAGUUGACACACCCUCGGCAAUGAGGCUUAGUUUUGCUGGAACUUUUCAGUUGUGACAACUGAGAUUCAGAGAUGUCCAAUCUACUCACACAAAUACCCAUGACAGACUGACGUAUCUAAAAAUCAUAGAUCAAGUAAAGAAUGUGUGCAAAUUAAAAUCCAUGCACAGAAAUCUAUGUGAGAAGAAGGAGCGUUGUCAUCGCAGACGUUUAACUGGGCCUGGUCGAAGAUGGCUGAGUGUAAACCAGAAUGCAAGUCAGCUGGGGCACGUACUACUGGAGGUAGAGCCCCAUGAGAAGGGGCCAAGAACCCGCACCCACCAAAAUCAAGAAGAAAGGCUGAACCCGGAGAGAAAAGGGAGGGAGUCUUGACUAAUCCAGUCAUGAGGAAUUGAAGCUAGAGUUGGGGCCAUGGCAAGCCAGAGCCUUGUGCAAGCCCAAGUUUUGGGAGAGCCAAAGCAAGAGUCUUGCAGAGAAAGUCAGCUGAAGAGAAGAUGGGGAAGAAAAGCAGAAUAAAGAAAACACAAGAAAUGUCAUGGUUUCAGAGUGUGGUUCUUUUUAGUGCAUGUCUUCAGCCAAGACAAGUAGGAAAUCAAAGCUUCAGAGAUGACCACAAUGCUGUAAAGCCCAGAGGAAAAGCCAAAGAAUGCUAUGAAAACUAAGUGUGGAAGAAAUCCCACAGCACCUACAGCAGGUUUUACUCCGCCUCAUUGAUGGACUAUUUAAAUUGCUUAAUUUUAGCUGGGCAUGGUGGCAGGUCCCUGUAGUCCCAGCUACAUGGGAGGCUGAGGCAGGAGGAUGGCUUGAACCCAGAAGUUAGAGGCUGCAGUGAGCCAUGAUUGCCCCACUGCACUCUAGCCUGAGCAACAGAGCAAGACCCUGUCUCUAAGAAAAUAAAAAUAAGAAAACUACUUGAUUUUCAGGAAGAUACUUCCAGUUCAAGAAUUUCAGAGAGAAGCAAAUAAGUUCUGGUGAAGAGAUGCUGCAUGCCUGGGCCUCUGUAUAGCACUCUCGAUUACAGCUGACCUGCAGAGAGCUUUGAUAGUCUGAGGUUACAAGUAAAAUUAAUGACCAUGGUGAGAAAGUUAUUCAGGACUAAAGGCUCUCAGUCCUCACAACCUCUUACAAAUGAUGUGCCUUUAGAUGAUUCUCAUGCUGUGCAAUCAUUCUUCAUUUCAUGUAGCCACUCAUCUACCCACUGAUUCUACAAAAAUUUAUUUAGCACCUACUGAGUAACAGGCAUUAGAGGCCAAGACAGAUGAGACACUCUCUGUCCUCAAAGGGCAGUGAGCACUUCUCAUUCACAGGACGUUUACAGCUUGUAAUUGUAUGCAUUUGUGGGAUUUGUUUUUGUUUAAUCUCUCUCUCCCAUUAUCUCAGUUUUAUAAGGACAGGAUUCAUGGGUUUGUUGUUGUUGUUGUUGUUGUUGUUGACUCUUGUAUCCUAGAACCUGGUAGGGCUCCUGGCACACAAUGGGCAUUUAAUACAUAUUUGGUGAACAAAUUAUUAAUGAAGGGCUUCGAGUCUGUUCAAGGUGUUAUUGUUUUUCUUCUGUUUUCUUUCUGUUUUUACUCAUGUUACAGUCUACCCCCCAAAAAGAUAUCUUCGUAGGACCAUCAGACAAUAAUACAUUUGG